Molecule: ribosomal RNA, 800 nt
Filed under: uncultured bacterium
Lineage: Bacteria
Description: bacterial SSU rRNA
Rfam family: Bacterial small subunit ribosomal RNA
Source: RNAcentral
AGAGUUUGAUCCUGGCUCAGAACGAACGCUGGCGGCGUGUUUAAGACAUGCAAGUCGCACGGGAUUGAAUGAGUAGUAAUACGAGUUCAGUCUAGUGGCGCACGGGUGAGUAACAUGUGAAUUACAUGCCCUAUAGUGGGGAAUAGCCCAGGGAAACUUGGAUUAAUACCCCAUAGUCUCGCAAGAGUAAAGGUGGCCGCAAGGCUGUCGCUAUAGGAUUGGUUCGCACCCUAUCAGCUUGUUGGUGAGGUAAUGGCUCACCAAGGCUACGACGGGUACCUGGUCUGAGAGGACGAUCAGGCACACUGGAACUGAGACACGGUCCAGACACCUACGGGUGGCAGCAGUCGAGAAUAAUUCACAAUGGGGGCAACCCUGAUGGUGCAACGCCGCGUGGAGGAUGACGGUCUUCGGAUUGUAAACUCCUGUCAUCUGGGAGUAAGACCUGGCGAUAAAUAGUCGACAGGGUUGAUAGUACCAGAAGAGGAAGGGACGGCUAACUUCGUGCCAGCAGCCGCGGUAAUACGAAGGUCCCAAGCGUUGUUCGGAAUCACUGGGCGUAAAGGGAGCGUAGGCGGCGUGGUAAGUCAGAUGUGAAAUCCCGGGGCUCAACCCCGGAACUGCAUCCGAUACUGCCAUGCUAGAGGAUUGGAGAGGUAGCUGGAAUUCUUGGUGUAGCAGUGAAAUGCGUAGAGAUCAAGAGGAACACUCGUGGCGAAAGCGAGUUACUGGACAAUUACUGACGCUGAGGCUCGAAGGCUAGGGGAGCAAAAGGGAUUAGAUACCCCUGUAGUCCUAGC